RNAcentral lists this ribosomal RNA (484 nucleotides) under uncultured bacterium. RNAcentral's name for it is "partial 16S ribosomal RNA". It matches the Rfam family "Bacterial small subunit ribosomal RNA", at positions 30 to 507 of the family's 1533-position model. The record is from RNAcentral.
AUUGAACGCUGGCGGCAGGCCUAACACAUGCAAGUCGAGCGGAUGAAGGGAGCUUGCUCCUGGAUUCAGCGGCGGACGGGUGAGUAAUGCCUAGGAAUCUGCCUGGUAGUGGGGGAUAACGUCCGGAAACGGGCGCUAAUACCGCAUACGUCCUGAGGGAGAAAGUGGGGGAUCUUCGGACCUCACGCUAUCAGAUGAGCCUAGGUCGGAUUAGCUAGCUGGUGGGGUAAAGGCCUACCAAGGCGACGAUCCGUAACUGGUCUGAGAGGAUGAUCAGUCACCCUGGAACUGAGACACGGUCCAGACUCCUACGGGAGGCAGCAGUGGGGAAUAUUGGACAAUGGGCGAAAGCCUGAUCCAGCCAUGCCGCGUGUGUGAAGAAGGUCUUCGGAUUGUAAAGCACUUUAAGUUGGGAGGAAGGGCAGUAAGUUAAUACCUUGCUGUUUUGACGGUACCAACAGAAUAAGCACCGGCUAACUUCGUG